Long non-coding RNA from Bombus pascuorum, 1481 nucleotides. RefSeq lists it as uncharacterized. The record is from RefSeq and is a predicted model, not a curated record. The transcript is spliced from 2 exons. NCBI's taxonomy places the organism in Eukaryota, Metazoa, Arthropoda, Insecta, Hymenoptera, Apidae.
AUACAUUAGUUAAAGUUCAGUUUCAAAAAAGAACACAAAUACAAAAGUUUCAUUUUUAAACUAAUAAUGUUUUAUGGAUCAGGUAACAGUAUUCAGCCGUCGAACUUCACGAUGUGUUUAAAGGGAACAUUUGAUCCCCAAGCGGAAAACUCCCUCCAGUGCCGUGGUGGGGAUGACAACCGAGUGCAGAACGAGGGAGUCUGGGAGUCUUGUCGUGUGCUUGGUGUCGUACGGGAAUUCACUGCAUAUAUACGCAGCACUUGCGACCGAUGGUUUCUACGUAUCCAUCAUUACUUUCAAAAUGGACAAAUAAGAAGCUCACGUCUUCGAUAUUUCUUUGAAAGUGAAUGUGUUCAUCAGGAGGAACUUCCCAGCUGUCACGUGGAUCGUCAAGUCUCCACGGUUAAUUGUUAGUGUCAGAUCGCUUGCCACGUGCUCGAGGUUGAUACUAGGACGUGAUACUAGAAGUGUAGAUGGCUUACGCUAUGCUUGGUUCGAGAUCCAGAGGAUGAGACUCGACAGCAUCGGCUGCAUAGACGUAAAGGCACCAUACUAUGAGCAACGUCAACAUCAGGGCGAAACAUUCAAGGUAUUUUACAUCAGCUAAUGAAAACGAAAACAGAGGAAAGGAUGUAGAAAUGGGAUAUUUUUACCUGCGACGCAAAUCAGCAAGGCGGUCAUCAAUAGUUGUACCAAUAUGAUUAUACUGAGGAUUUGUUCGAGAUUGUUGGCCAGUAUGAAGGCUGAUAGUGUCGUUCCACGAAAAGUCGGAGUUCUUUCUAACAGCCAAACUUCUCGAACUUGAUGGACUUAAUAAAAUUCGUCUUGAUAAUCUCGAAUUGAUCACAGAGAUGCAUCAUUAAGCCAAAGAGUAAUCCGUCGUUGAUGCAAUGAACGAUUGCAUUGUCGAGAAUGUAUAUCGCUUGCAAUGCCAAUACGCAGAGGUGAUGGAGCAAAGACAGUGGACGCAAACUCGCAGUACGUUGCUAGGAAAUACUUCAAUUUCUCGGGACUAUUUAGAUUUAUUGAUGAGUUCACCGAGUUUUGGAACAUGCGAAGAUAGGUAAGGCACGUCAUAGUAAAAAUGUUGGAAACCGAUUGUUUUACGUGUAAAAGUAAUCUUUAUCUUGAAUUGUCAUAUUUAUUUUAUACAAUGUACUUUUACGUUCGAAAUAUGUAUAUCAAAAUUAUAUAUACUGCCGUAAAUAUGAAUGCGCUAGCUGAUAUUUAAUAUAAAUUGUAUCCUUUUCAUUGCAUUUGUUUUCUAAAUACUUUGUCAGUCAACUCAAUUCUAUUAUAAAUAUCUUACAUAAAACAGUACAGGGUGUGAGACACGAAGUUGAUGAAAAUUUGUUAUAUAUUAAUUUGUUAUAUACUGUUGUUUAUUGGUUAUUUGUUAAUAGAUGUAACGAUUUGGUGUCCUAAUAUUAUUGUAUUUAUAUAGACUGCACAUAAUAUGAACAAAUAAAAAUAUAAAAACA